GCCUCGGUGGCUCAGGUGGAUAGAGCGUCUGCCAUGUAAACAGGAGGUCCCGGGUUCGAGUCCCGUUCGGGGCA
RNAcentral lists this transfer RNA (74 nucleotides) under Schistocerca americana (American grasshopper). RNAcentral's name for it is "tRNA-Thr". It matches the Rfam family "tRNA". From Rfam's summary of the family: Transfer RNA (tRNA) molecules are approximately 80 nucleotides in length. Their secondary structure includes four short double-helical elements and three loops (D, anti-codon, and T loops). Further hydrogen bonds mediate the characteristic L-shaped molecular structure. tRNAs have two regions of fundamental functional importance: the anti-codon, which is responsible for specific mRNA codon recognition, and the 3' end, to which the tRNAs corresponding amino acid is attached (by aminoacyl-tRNA synthetases). tRNAs cope with the degeneracy of the genetic code in two manners: having more than one tRNA (with a specific anti-codon) for a particular amino acid; and 'wobble' base-pairing, i.e. permitting non-standard base-pairing at the 3rd anti-codon position. The record is from RNAcentral. RNAcentral also lists the same sequence under 1 other name. Lineage: Eukaryota; Metazoa; Arthropoda; Insecta; Orthoptera; Acrididae.